RNAcentral lists this unclassified non-coding RNA (405 nucleotides) under soil metagenome. Its description in RNAcentral is "partial contains 5.8S ribosomal RNA, internal transcribed spacer 2, and large subunit ribosomal RNA". The stretch from base 1 to 121 matches the Rfam family "5.8S ribosomal RNA", at positions 35 to 154 of the family's 154-position model. The record is from RNAcentral.
GAUGAAGAACGUAGCGAAAUGCGAUAAGUAAUGUGAAUUGCAGAAUUCAGUGAAUCAUCGAAUCUUUGAACGCACCUUGCGCCCUUUGGCUAUUCCAGAGGGCAUGCCUGUUUGAGUAUCAUGAACACCUCAACUCUCAUGGUUCUGCCAUGAUGAGCUUGGACUUUGGAGGUCUUGCUGGCCCCUGUGGUCAGCUCCUCUCAAAUGGAUCAGCUUGCCAGUGUUUGGUGGCAUCACAGGUGUGAUAACUAUCUACGCUUGUGGUUUUCCACCAGGUAACCUUCAGUGAUGAAGGUUCGCUGGAGCUCAUAAACGUCUCUCCUCAGCGAGGACAGCUUCUUGAACGUUUGAUCUCAAAUCAGGUAGGGCUACCCGCUGAACUUAAGCAUAUCAAUAAGCGGAGGA